AGAGGUGGCGAGCGUUGUUCGGAAUUAUUGGGCGUAAAGAGCACGUAGGUGGGUUUGCAAGUCAGAUGUGAAAGCCUUCUGCUCAACGGGAGAAUUGCAUCUGAAACUGCGAAUCUUGAGUAUAGGAGGGGAGAAUGGAACUUCUGGUGGAGCGGUGAAAUGCGUAGAUAUCAGAAGGAACGCCGGCGGCGAAAGCGAUUCUCUGGCCUAUUACUGACACUCAGUGUGCGAAAGCUAGGGGAGCAAACGGGAUUAGAUACCCCGGUAGUCCUAGCCCGUAAACGAUGGGCACUAAGUAGAGGGAAUUACCUAUGUUCUCUCUGCCGUAGCUAACGCAUUAAGUGCCCCAGCCUGGGGAGUCGGCGCAAGGCUA
RNAcentral lists this ribosomal RNA (373 nucleotides) under uncultured organism. Its description in RNAcentral is "partial 16S ribosomal RNA". It matches the Rfam family "Bacterial small subunit ribosomal RNA", at positions 527 to 896 of the family's 1533-position model. The record is from RNAcentral.